This 2897-nucleotide long non-coding RNA is filed under the name Piliocolobus tephrosceles (Ugandan red Colobus). RNAcentral describes it as "lncRNA (ENSPTEG00000000780.1)". The record is from RNAcentral. Lineage: Eukaryota; Metazoa; Chordata; Mammalia; Primates; Cercopithecidae.
AUUUAUCGUUUGGGAAUUAUAUGGUUUAUAAUGAUUUUUUAAUUAAUAAUAAUGACCAUGGGGAUAUGGGUUCGUAUGUAGCUUUAAAAAAAGGAUACGGUACUGUAAAUAAUAAUGAACCAUUGCAUAAGGAUAUGUAUAGUACAUCAAAAAUUAGUAUGUACAAUAAAAGAAAAUUUAGAAGUAUAAAUGAUUCGGAUAUGCAGACAAAUAACUUAAAAAAAAAGAUAAUAAUAAUGAUUCAAUGAAAGUAAAUAUUAUGGGACUAUAUCAGAAAAAAAAAAAUGUCGAUAUUUCUAAUGAAGCAUGUAAAGAUAAUAAUUAUUUUAUAAAACAAAAACAAAACUUAAAUAAUAUUGAAAGUUUUUAUUCAAAUCAAAAGGUUGUAAAAGAAGAAAAUUUAUUUAAAUUUAAAAGGAAAGAAUUAACACAUAUGAAAAACGAUAAGGAAUUAAAUUUUUUUUUUUGUCAAAAUUGUGAUAAUAGUCAUAAUGUUUUUUUUUCGUAUGGAAGUGACGAUAAUGACAAUAAUAACAAGUUUGAAGAAAUAAUUAAUAUCGGAAAAGUUGUAAGUAAAAAUCCAUUUCUAUAUAUGAACAUUUUUAAUAAUGCUAUUCUUAAAAAAUUAACAGAUGAAUCACAAAAAAAGUUCAAAGGAGAAAAUGAUUUUGAAGAAAAGGACAAAUCGAAGGGGGUAGAAGAGUUAGAAAAUUUACAUCAUGGUUUGAAACAUAACGGAUUUUUUAAUAAGGGUAAUAAUGAAAGUAGCGCUAUCGGUAACGGUAGCGGUAACAGUAACAGUAAUAGCAACGGUAACAGUAAUAGUAACAGUGAUAACAACAGUAACAGUAAUAGUAAUAGUGAUAACAACAGUAACAAUAACAGUAAUAGCAACAGUAACAGUAAUAACAAGGGUAAUAACAGCAUUAACAGUAACAGCAACAACCAUAACAACAAGGUUGUCGAAAAUAAAAAUACAGAGCAACAUGUGGACAAUAAGAAAGAGCACGUUAACAUCCAAUUUGUCAAAGUUACUACUGAUGAUAGCUAUUCGAAUAUAACUUGUAAAAAAAACGAUCAUACUAUAAACGCCUGCUCCAACAAUUUAGAUCAUACAAAUACAUGUUCAAAUAAUAUUGAAAAAAUAGUAGAAAAUAACGAAAAAUCAAAAUUGUUACAUAAUAAUGUAAUAAUUAAAGAAGAAAAAACAGAUAAAAAUAUUUAUUGCGAUUUAUAUGUAGUUAAAAACAUGAUGGUUUUUAUUAUUCAUAAUUCUAAUUUUUGUGAUAAUGAUGUUGAUAAUAUUAUUAAAAAUAAUUUAUAUUUACCUAUAUAUAUUACUAUUAUAAGUGAUAAAACAAUGAUAAAAAACAAAUUAAAUGAACUGGAAUAUUUUAAAAUACCUAAUUUUUUUAUUACUUAUGCAGAAUAUAUUUUAUAUUUUAUAAACGCUAUACUUUAUCAUAUUUAUUGUGAGAUAACAAAUAAAAUAUUGUUAGUUCAUGAAAAUUUGAUAUAUAUUUUAAAUCAGUUAAGUGAUAAUAAGGAAACUGUUUUAAAAUUAAUAGAAAACAAUCAGACACAUCUACAAGUCAACAACACUGAUAGUAGUAUAAGUAGUAAAGAGUUAAAUACUUUAAAUGUUAAAAAUACUGUGAAAAACUACCAAAUAAACAGUAACAAUUAUAGUAACAAUUACAGUAACAAUUACAGUAACAAUUACAGUAACAAUUACAGUAGCAAUUACAGUAGCAAUAACAAAAACAAUAGUUAUUCCAUUUCUGAUAAUUUAAAAAAAAAUAUAAAAGCAAAAAAUUAUAACAAUCGGGAUGAUAAUUAUAUUUUAUUAUUUCAAGACGUUGAAUUAGUAUGUAGUUUUCAAGAAGAUUACAACAGUAAUGCAUAUUACAAUGACGGAUUAAGUAAAACUGAAAAGAACAAAAAAACAAGUUUAGAUAAGCGAUUUUUUUUAAAAAUUUCACAAAAGGAAAUGAUUUUAAUUGAAAAAGAUAGAAUAACAAAUGUUGUAGAAGAUACAAAUAUGUAUAUUAGUGUAAAUUAUAUUCUUGUUUUAAGUAAAACAAAUAAUUAUAUAAAUAAUAAUGACUUACUCAUAUUUAUUACUAAAUGGAAUACAUUUAAAAAUAAUUAUAUCGAAAUUUUUCCAUUAAAUAUUGAAACAUUUACAUAUAUGAAUAUACUAUUUAGUAAAGAAAAUACGAUAACAACAAAAGAGUUGUUCAUAAACUUUUUAAAAAAACAUAAAAAAAAAACAUUUUCUUCAUGUUUAUUUUUAAUUAAAAUAUCUGAUGAAUUUGAAAACUUAAAGCAUCUUUUUUAUUUUUACAAAAAUAUAGAAAAACGUGAGAAAAUUAGGAAUGUGAAUACUACACAUUUGUUAAGUAAUAACAUGCGAAAACAAAUUCAUACCGAUCCUAACAACACCGAUGAAAUAAAUUACGAUUUUAUUGGAAGCAAGAUUGGAAUAAAGAAUUGCAUAAAUAAAUAUACAAAUUAUUUUACUGUAUUAAAUAAUGUAUUAAUUGAUUACAAACACGAAUUAGUACAUAAUAUUUAUAAUGAUCAAAAACUGAAUAAACAACAAAAGCAAAUUAUAGAAUGUGUAGUAAAUUGGUUUAAUUACAAAAAUGUUAAUAUUGGAAAGGGGGGAUAGCUUGGAAAUAGAAAAACAGCAUAGAAAAAAUGAAACAGGCGUGUUAAAUAAUGGCAACAGUAGCGAUAGCAAUGAUCAAUACUGUUCAUGUGGUAAUAACACAGACAGUAGCAACAGCUGUUUGCUUGUUAAUGGAAUAUUUGGGUCAGGUAAAAGUACACUAAUAUGUAAAACGAUUUUAUAUAUAAAUAAAAUUUUAAGUUAUGAAGAAGAAUUAGAAGAA